RNAcentral lists this ribosomal RNA (1336 nucleotides) under uncultured marine eukaryote. Its description in RNAcentral is "SSU rRNA". It matches the Rfam family "Eukaryotic small subunit ribosomal RNA", at positions 383 to 1800 of the family's 1831-position model. The record is from RNAcentral.
UCGGAGAGGGAGCAUGAGAAACGGCUACCACAUCUAAGGAUGGCAGCAGGCGCGCAAAUUACCCAAUCCUAACUCAGGGAGGUAGUGACAAGAAAUAACAACUUCGGGCUUGCCCGAGAUUGGAAUGAGUACAACGUACAAUCUUUAACGAGUACCAACUGGAGGGCAAGUCUGGUGCCAGCAGCCGCGGUAAUUCCAGCUCCAGUAGCGUAUACUAAAGUUGUUGCAGUUAAAAAGCUCGUAGUUGAAUUUCUGUGUAGUGUACUUGCGGUCUCCGGACCAAUAUAUACUGCACAUCCAUCUGAACAGCACUUCUUGUCAUUCAUUUGUCGGUUGUGUGAUCAGAUACUUUACCUUGAGAAAAAUAGAGUGUUCCAAGCAGGCGUCCGCCUGAAUAAUAAAGCAUGGAAUAAUACAAUAGGACUGGGUUCUAUUGGUGCAUAGAACUUAGUAAUGAUUAAUAGGGACAGUUGGGGGCAUUUGUAUUUAAUUGUCAGAGGUGAAAUUCUUUGAUUUAUUAAAGACAAACCUAUGCGAAAGCAUUUGCCAAGGAUGUUUUCAUUAAUCAAGAACGAAAGUUAAGGGAUCGAAGACGAUCAGAUACCGUCGUAGUCUUAACCAUAAACUAUGCCGACUAGAGAUUGGAGGUGCAAUCUCAAUACUCCUUCAGCAUCUUAGGAGAAAUCAAAGUCUUUGGGUUCUGGGGGUAGUAUGGUCGCAAGGCUGAAACUUAAAGGAAUUGACGGAAGGGCACCACAAGGUGUGGAGCCUGCGGCUUAAUUUGACUCAACACGGGGAACUUACCAGGUCCAGACAUGGGAAGGAUUGACAGAUUGGAGAUCUUUCUUGAUUCCAUGGAUGGUGGUGCAUGGCCGUUCUUAGUUGGUGGAGUGAUUUGUCAGGUUAAUUCCGAUAACGAACGAGACCUCAACCUGCUAACUAGUUGCAGCUUCUUUCAAGUUGUAGACUUCUUAGAGGGACUAUAGGAUUUAACCUAAGGAAGUUUGAGGCAAUAACAGGUCUGUGAUGCCCUUAGAUGUCCUGGGCCGCACGCGCGCUACACUGAUGCAGGCACUAAGUCUCCAAUUUCGAAAGAUUUUGGGAACCUUCAAACUGCAUCGUGCUGGGGAUUGACACUUGUAAUUAUUUGUCAUCAACGAGGAAUACCUAGUAAGCGCAAGUCAUCAGCUUGCACUGAUUACGUCCCUGCCCUUUGUACACACCGCCCGUCGCUCCUACCGAUUGGGUGAUGCGGUGAGCCUUUCGGACGGGCGCUUCGGCGCCUGAAAGUUAUGCAAAUCUCAUCACUUAGAGGAAGGAGAAGUCGUAACAAGGU